RNAcentral lists this transfer RNA (74 nucleotides) under uncultured phage cr85_1. RNAcentral describes it as "crAssphage cr85_1 tRNA-Thr". It matches the Rfam family "tRNA". Rfam says of the family: Transfer RNA (tRNA) molecules are approximately 80 nucleotides in length. Their secondary structure includes four short double-helical elements and three loops (D, anti-codon, and T loops). RNAcentral also lists the same sequence under 1 other name. Lineage: Duplodnaviria; Heunggongvirae; Uroviricota; Caudoviricetes; Crassvirales; Steigviridae. The record is from RNAcentral.
GUCCCCUUAGUGUUAAUGGUUAGCAAGCUUGUCUUGUAAACAAGAAGAGAAGGUUCAAAUCCUUUAGGGGACUC